CAGAGAAUAGUUUAAUUGAGAAUACCAGCUUUGGGAGUUGGAGAUGGGGGUUUGAAUCCCUCUUUUCUGA
Molecule: transfer RNA, 70 nt
Filed under: Jynx ruficollis (rufous-necked wryneck)
Lineage: Eukaryota; Metazoa; Chordata; Aves; Piciformes; Picidae
Description: tRNA-Pro
Rfam family: tRNA
About the family: Transfer RNA (tRNA) molecules are approximately 80 nucleotides in length.
Source: RNAcentral